GCCUGGCUAGUUUAGUCAGUAAUGCAUCAGACUUUUAAUCUGAGGAGUUAGAUUUCAAGUCCCUUGUCAGGCA
This 73-nucleotide transfer RNA is filed under the name Pelodiscus sinensis (Chinese soft-shelled turtle). It matches the Rfam family "tRNA". Rfam says of the family: Transfer RNA (tRNA) molecules are approximately 80 nucleotides in length. Their secondary structure includes four short double-helical elements and three loops (D, anti-codon, and T loops). The record is from Rfam by way of RNAcentral. Lineage: Eukaryota; Metazoa; Chordata; Testudines; Trionychidae.